AAAGGUACUUAGACAUGUUCCCCAUAGGAUGUGUUAAGGUGUUGGCCAAUCAUCAAAUAUUGUCACUCCAAAGAACACAUUUAACAGCCGGGAAGAAAAUUGUAGGAAAAGAGAGCACUUUGGCACGGAAGGAGUCUAUCGCCCUGGUUGGAGUGCAGCAGUGUAAUCAUAGCUCACUGCUGCCAUGAACUUCUGGGCUUAAGCGAUCCUCCCACCUCAGCCUCCCUGUGUGCUGAGAUUAAAAGUGUGAGCCACCAUGCCUCAUCGUAAGGGUCUUCAAAGAAACCCUAUUUCAUACUUUCUUGAUGCACUUGAUAUGGAUUAUAUAAAUCUAUGGACAAAAAUGACAUCAGUACAAUGGUGAUAUUGGAGUUUUCUACCAUAAUCUCUGCAUAGUGCACUGAUUUUGACAAUCACCUAUGGAUGACAAUACAUUUGCCAGAGUCUAGGAGUUAAAUGGAAAAGUUAACAGCACACCAUUGGAGAAAAAUAUCUGGGAGUAGAUGCAUUCAAGGGAGUAAGAAGAACAAUUACCUGCAUCACCUCACCCCCAGGGUCCACUUCUUAGUGCCAAGAUAGACUCCCUUCAGCAGGCAAUUUCUCCCAUAGGGAAAAGGAGAGUAUAAUGAGUGAGUACCCAGCUUUUCCAGCUGUGUGAGGCACAUCCCAAGAAGCCCAUCUUUCUUUCACUCAACUCAGAAUAUUGAGGGUAUUAGCAUGGCUAAGUGGCUGGGACAGGGUACUAGCAGGAAAGAAAGGAGAGGACUCACAGCAACCAGGACUGGAAACUCAGUACAGGGUACGUAUCCUUUGAAGCAUUUCACAGAGCCCAUCAGGAGGCCCACCCAUGAACCACUUGGGACACCAUAUCUGUAGCAUCUCCCUGCAACUGGCCCAUAGGAGCCCCCGAUGUUUUGUGCAUAUUCCCCUUCCCUUUCUCCUGUAGUCAAUUGCCUGCACAUGCACUCCAGAUGGUGAGUGUGAGCAUUUACCUACAGCUUUUGAGUACAUGCAGUCAGCAGGCUCAACUUUGAAGGAUUGGGAGGCAUACAAAAUUGAGCAUUUCAGGGCACUGUCCCAGAGGAAACAAACAGAAAGCUUUCAGGACCCAGUUUGGUUUUGUGGAUUUAAGAGAAGACACAUAAUCAUCAGAAUUUCUUCUCCACCCAUCCAAGAAGUGUGGAUUGGGUGAAUCCAUAGAAAAGACCUGAGAGAGCCUCAGAUUCCCUAUAGGCUCACUGUUGAAGAUAUUUCUCUCAAAUCCAGUCAGUAAAGACUAGAGAAAGUGACUCUUUCUUCAAAUGUGAAGACAGCAGUGCAAGACUUUGAGGAACAUGAAAAAUCAAGGACCCCUAGUACCACCAAAGGAACAUAAUUUUCUGGUACCCAACCACAAAGAAAUGGAGAUACACAAAUUGUCUGACAAAGAAUUCAAAACAAUUGUUUUAAGGAAGUCAGUAAGCUACAAGAGAACACAGAUAGAGAACUUAAUGAUAUUAAGAAAGCGACACAUGAACAAAAUAAGAAGUUCAACAAAGAGAUAGAAAUCAUUAAAAACAACAACCAUGAUUUUUGAGCUGAGAAUACAGUGAAUGAAAUGGAAAACACAAUAGAGUUUCAAUAGCAGACUUGAUCAAGCAGAAGAAAGGGUCUGUCAACUCAAAUACUAGUCAUUUGAAAUUAUUCAGUAAAAGGAAUGAAAAAUGCUUAAGCGAUUGAUGCAACACCAUGAAGAGUAGUCAUAUAUGCAAUAUGGGAGUCUCAGAAAAAGAAAGAGAUAAAGGGGAAGAAAACUAACUUAAAGAACUAGAUCAGUCUCUCCUUAUCUGUAGUUUUGCUUUCCUUGGUUUCAGGUACAUUACAAUGAUAUGUUUUAAGAGACAGACAAUGAAAGAGAACAUGCAAAUAUUGACAUAAUUUUUAUUACAGUAUAUUGUCAUAGUUUUUCUAUUUUAUUAUUAGUUGUUAUUCUCUUACUGUGCCUAAUUUAUAAAUUAAACUUUAUCAUAGGAAUAGUGGUGGUGGCCUGUCUGGAGUGGCCACUGCCAGGAUGCCAGCUGCAGCAGGGGAGGUGUAGCUGGGGCUGUGCACUCCGCAGAGCCGGGGGGGCCAGGAACAGGUGAUCCUAGUGGGAGCCCUAUAUGCUACUGAGUUAGUGGGGUGGAAGCCUGUGCUCCCAGGCAUAGCUGCAGCUGCCCAGCCAUGGCUGCAGCCCUAGGCAUACCUGUGCUGUCAGGGGCCCUGGAAGUCCCCUGCCCUUACAGGCUUGGAAGUGCCUGCUCCCAUUCCCUGGCCUCUUUCCACUGCUGGCACCUGCUCUGUGGCAGAGCAAAGUUGUGGAUGUGUUGUGAUAGCUGAGCCUGGGAGCUGUUGUGACGUGGUCAGGUGUGUGUGUUCAGGGCAGUUCUGACAUACCAGACUCCCCACUGCCUUUGCCCCCUCUGGAAACUGCUUCUGAGGCUGAAACUUUGGAUGUUAAUGAGCAAGGAUGGUGGGGGAGGCCAGGAUGGCUGAGGGCAGCUAGGUGUGGGCCUGUGGACACCCCUUAGUGAGGACAGCCUGGGUGCUGUGGAUGGCAUGUUGAUGGCAGCGAGAGGCAGACAUGUUCCUAGGUGGGAAUGGGUGGGUCCCUGGUGAAACCUCACCUUCAAGCCAGGGACAGCUUGAAGCAUGGGGGCCUGGCUGCCAGUUCCAUUUGCAGUCUGUGACCUGGAGUGAAAACUUCAUUGAUGUCUUUCAGCCAAUUGGAUAGUGCUUUUUCCAGACCCACAAAUGGCUGCCCAUGGACCAAGCAGUAUGUACUUCCUCCAUUCUGAGCCCAUGAAAACCCCAGACUCAUUCAGACUCUGACACUCAUCAGGAUGACAAGCCUGCAAAUAGGAGCUACCCACUUUGGGUAUGCACUCCGCUGAGAGCUAUUCUGUCACUCAGUAAAGCUCCUUUCUGCCUUGCUC
RNAcentral lists this long non-coding RNA (2954 nucleotides) under Pan troglodytes (chimpanzee). RNAcentral's name for it is "lincRNA". Lineage: Eukaryota; Metazoa; Chordata; Mammalia; Primates; Hominidae. The record is from RNAcentral.